This is a long non-coding RNA of Gorilla gorilla gorilla (western lowland gorilla), 503 nucleotides long. RefSeq lists it as uncharacterized. NCBI's taxonomy places the organism in Eukaryota, Metazoa, Chordata, Mammalia, Primates, Hominidae. The transcript has 5 exons. The record is from RefSeq and is a predicted model, not a curated record.
AGGAGGAGUUAAGUAGACUGAAUAAUGAAGAAUGAUGGGAAGGUAGAGAUGGUGGGAUGGGGAGGGGUUGAGAGAAGCUGAGAACUCAAAGGUUGCAUCUCCCCAGAAGAAGACACUGAAACAAGGAUUUCAGUGCAAGUUGUUUCAUGGGAGACUUCAAGAAGCAUCAGGGUCGAUCCCAGCACUUUGGGAGGCCAAGGACAUCUUUCAAUAGCUCCUGGCCAACUGGCAGCAGAAUUUUCCCUUCCUGUGCAUGAAUGACCUUGGAUAUUAUUCUUGGUGGCAUGACUGGACACCUGCAGCCUCUUGAUGUUUCCAGUCAAAAAGGAAUAAAAGUCUCCAAAGGGACGAGAAAUGAACCAUUAUGACCAGGUUCUUCUCCAUAUGGCUGAGUGUCCAUUUAAGCAUCCAGAGCCAGUUCCACAGCAGGCGACAGGUGAUCCCAGGAAAUACCCAGCUGCUGAAACAGGAUGUGCAUAUGAAAUACAACAGCUUAGACCGGC